Long non-coding RNA from Lagopus leucura (white-tailed ptarmigan), 2760 nucleotides. RefSeq lists it as uncharacterized. The record is from RefSeq and is a predicted model, not a curated record. NCBI's taxonomy places the organism in Eukaryota, Metazoa, Chordata, Aves, Galliformes, Phasianidae. The transcript has 5 exons.
CGAGUUGAACCAGCACGUCCUCCCCGGCCCCCCAGAUCCUGCAGCUUGCAGUUCAUCAAGCCCUUAUUGAUCCAAAGGCGAAUGUUUGAGCGAGGAGAGCUGGCUGCCUCAUUGGCUCUGUUUCACACAAGGUGGUACUGCUCUUGUUAUUCAUACUGCAUCCAAAAAGAUGGCACGCAGCUGGAAAAACAGCUCCGGCCACCGGUGGGGCUGGGAGACAGCUGGCUUUGGGGAGCUCUGCGGAUGGUGGAAGGGCUGUGCUGCCUCACUGGGGAGGCACUGCUGCUCAUCCAGCACCUCUUGUGAUCCCAGCUGAUCAGCAACAUGCGUCUGCCUAAAAACGUUGCCUUCCCAUUGAGCAGGAGACUGCUGCACGAGCAUCGGGGAGGCCGUCCGUGAUGCGAGGUUGCUGGUGGGAAGCGGUGCAACGAGGAGAGCUAACAGGACUCCAGGCUUCGUCAGUGCAACAGGUCCCCGGGGAGUCUCAACAGAAAGAAGACGCUUUGGUUUCUCCUCAUCCAUAAAAUCCUGCCCACCCUCCCUGGUGUGCGAUCAGCACAGCUCUGCUACAACUUGGGGAUCCUAAUGCUGCCAGAUACACACAUGGAGAUUUACCCUGGACUACCAGUAGCAAUCUUCUUCGUCUGAAUCCAAGCUCUGCUCUCAGCAUGCAAAUGCCUUGGCUGGGACUCUGCAGUCCUUAUGGCUGAUAUCAUCCCUAUUUGCAUCGCUGUUUAUUUUAAUUUACCCAAGAGCCACAACUAUCCUCACAGCCCGUUUCUCCUUGCACUCGCUUAAUCCUCAUCACGGCCAUCACCUUCACAAGGAUUCCUUUUUGAAGGGCCUUCCGAGUUGAAGUCAUCUGGCUUGCUUUUCACUUGGCUCCCAAGGAAAGCACAAUUUACAUGAUCACAUUCAGCACAUGCCUGUGUCUGUCUGUUUAUCUCUUCAAAAACCAUGGAGGCUGCUGAGCACAGAGCAUCCACCAUAAUGUGCCACAGGGCAAGGAUAAAGAAGGCUGUGACAUUGAUGGUUUCCGAAGGUUCCCACAUCAGCAGAACAUGCCUCGUGCCUCUGGAGAAAACGUGCUCUUGGAGAAGCCUGCUGCACAAAUGCUCUGGCUUUGGAGGGCUCCCAUGGGAGCAUGAGCAGCCUGAUCCUGCUUGGGGUGCCUGCUGGAACACAACCAUGGUGAUCCUGGGAUAGAAGCAAGGAGUUUGGUGUCUCAGUCCAGCUGGAAAUAGGAAGAUUCUCCAUAAUGCUAUGGCUGUCCCAGGAGACAGAGGGUCUGGCUGGACUGUGUUUCAGCAUGAUGGGACCUUUUGGUAGCUCCUGCUCUGAAGCUGGACGGAGGAGUCCACCAUGCUGGAUGUGAUCCGUUGAGCUGCCAAAUCCAAAACCUGGUUCCAGAGAACAGAAAUAAACUCCAGGGGUGGGAAUCUUCCCCAGGAGGAGGAAAGAGACAACCAGAUGGGCUUUUGGAGCUUUCUUCCUUCCUUUAUUUUUAUAAACAUAAAAAGAAGUUGGACAAGGCCAUGGAUUUAUAGCUGGUCUUGGAAGAGCAGAUAUUGCUUGUUCAGAGGGAGUUUUGGUAUUGCAGUUGUUACUCAGUGGGAGACAUUCCCAUAAAGCUCCUCUGGACUUGGACAUGGAUAGCAUUAAAGCAGGUGUCCAUUUUUAAGAGAUUCUGGAGCUCUGAUGUUUCUUUCAUGUCCCAACUGAGCGUAAAAUUGUCAGUCAGGCUCUUAUGGGUCAUCCAACUCCAAUGGGCAGUGCUUUCCUGGGGGGUGAAUGCAGGGAAAACUGAAAUUCCACACUAUUUAGUAAAAAGGGACAGAGGGAAACCCCUUUUGACUCCCAAAUAAAUCUUCAGCUCUACACAAACAAUCACAAUCCUCCCUCAACUCUUUGUAUCCUUUGGGCAAAGCUUCCUCAGCCAAAGAGGCCAUUGACUGUCCAAGUGUUUUUUUUAAUGCUUGAUUUAAAGCAAGUGGUAAUGGGUCAUUGCAUCCCCAGGAAAGGACUGUCUGUUCUUCUUGCACCUCCAUCCUUCCUUACACAGUCCCUGAAGGAGCCACGUUGAAGAGGAGACCAGGUCCAAAUAUGCUGGGAGAAGAAGACUCAUUUUUUGGGGCUGGGGCUCAGCAGGGCAAUCUGUUGUUCAGUCCGUAUAUCACUUUGCAUGGACUGCCACAUGACAGCCCCAUCGCAAUAUUUGUGAGGAAUCACUUCCUGAGCAUCUUGUGUUGCACUAACAUCAAUGCUUUAGAGUUGCAAAGGGAGAGCAGGGGUUAAGUGUUGCUAGCUGUAGGUCGGAAAACAUGACAAUCUGAAUUCCUCAUCUUUUCAUUAAAAAACACACAGUGAUUUACAGCUGACAGACUGUUUCAUUAUUGUAGGGGAUUGGGAGAGAAGGACUAGUAUGCUUUGAAGCAAGAAGACUGGUGUUUACAGGUCUUUGCUCAUGUCGAUCUCAAUAGGGCUGUUACACAAAGGCAGUGGAUUAACCUUUUCUUGGGACCUGGGAAGAGUUUUGCUCAGCACCUGGUGAUCUCUGUUGAAUCCAAGGCUGCUCCACCGCUCACAGAUAUUCACAACUGUUUAGGCUCUCUCUAAAUCCAGUCCCAUCUCUUCUGUGGAAGUUAGGAGCUGUCUGCCCAAAUGUAGGUGUCUUCAGUAGAAUAGUUGACAUGGGAGUUCAUCAUCUAGAUGCCUGCUAAAGUCAGUGGAGGGAUCAGAAUCAUAGAGACACCGAGGUUG